CUAGAUUGAUGGCGAGUGGCGAACGGGUGAGUAAUACAUCGGAACGUGCCCUGUAGUGGGGGAUAACUAGUCGAAAGAUUAGCUAAUACCGCAUACGACCUGAGGGUGAAAGUGGGGGACCGCAAGGCCUCAUGCUAUAGGAGCGGCCGAUGUCUGAUUAGCUAGUUGGUGGGGUAAAGGCCCACCAAGGCGACGAUCAGUAGCUGGUCUGAGAGGACGAUCAGCCACACUGGGACUGAGACACGGCCCAGACUCCUACGGGAGGCAGCAGUGGGGAAUUUUGGACAAUGGGCGAAAGCCUGAUCCAGCAAUGCCGCGUGUGUGAAGAAGGCCUUCGGGUUGUAAAGCACUUUUGUCCGGAAAGAAAUGGCUCUGGUUAAUACCUGGGGUCGAUGACGGUACCGGAAGAAUAAGGACCGGCUAACUACGUGCCAGCAGCCGCGGUAAUACGUAGGGUCCAAGCGUUAAUCGGAAUUACUGGGCGUAAAGCGUGCGCAGGCGGUUGUGCAAGACCGAUGUGAAAUCCCCGAGCUUAACUUGGGAAUUGCAU
This 550-nucleotide ribosomal RNA is filed under the name bacterium BaP1-24. RNAcentral's name for it is "bacterial SSU rRNA". It matches the Rfam family "Bacterial small subunit ribosomal RNA", at positions 80 to 626 of the family's 1533-position model. The record is from RNAcentral.